RNAcentral lists this ribosomal RNA (367 nucleotides) under Platyjassus sp. n. 2 SK-2013. Its description in RNAcentral is "partial 12S ribosomal RNA". The record is from RNAcentral. Lineage: Eukaryota; Metazoa; Arthropoda; Insecta; Hemiptera; Cicadellidae.
CUAUUAUUCUUAAAAAUAUAUUUAAUUUCUGAAUAUUAUUAGUUUUACUUUUAAACUCAAAGAAUUUGGCGGUUAAUUAUUUCUUUUUAGGGGAACAUGUGAUUUAAUCGAUAAUCCACGAUAUUUUCUACUUUUUAAUAUUUGUUUGUAUAUCUCUAUUGAUUAGAGGGUGUUUAAUAAAAAAAUUCUCUUUUUCUUUUUCAAGGUGAAUUUUAGGUCAAGGUGCAGUUUUAAAAUGUAUUUAUGUGUUACUUUAAUUUUAUAAUAGAUUGGAUUUUUAACUAAUUUUAGUUUUUUUGAAAUAGGAUUUAAUAGUAAUAAAUUUAAAUUAAAUUUUAUGAAUAAUGUUUUGAUUAAUGUACACAUC